UGGGGAAUAUUGCACAAUGGGCGCAAGCCUGAUGCAGCCAUGCCGCGUGUGUGAAGAAGGCCUUCGGGUUGUAAAGCACUUUCAGCGAGGAGGAAGGGUUCAGUGUUAAUAGCACUGUUCAUUGACGUUACUCGCAGAAGAAGCACCGGCUAACUCCGUGCCAGCAGCCGCGGUAAUACGGAGGGUGCAAGCGUUAAUCGGAAUUACUGGGCGUAAAGCGCACGCAGGCGGUUUGUUAAGUCAGAUGUGAAAUCCCCGCGCUUAACGUGGGAACUGCAUUUGAAACUGGCAAGCUAGAGUCUUGUAGAGGGGGGU
This 315-nucleotide ribosomal RNA is filed under the name uncultured bacterium. RNAcentral describes it as "partial 16S ribosomal RNA". It matches the Rfam family "Bacterial small subunit ribosomal RNA", at positions 355 to 662 of the family's 1533-position model. The record is from RNAcentral.